RNAcentral lists this long non-coding RNA (235 nucleotides) under Gopherus agassizii (Agassiz's desert tortoise). RNAcentral describes it as "lncRNA (ENSGAGG00000016702.1)". Lineage: Eukaryota; Metazoa; Chordata; Testudines; Testudinidae. The record is from RNAcentral.
CCUUGCUGUAGGUCUUCUGUUACUUCAGAGGGAAAUACAGAAACAUACAGGAGCUCAGGAGCAAACAGAGCAUCGGGAACAUCAGGCAACGUAAGAGAGGACUUGAUUCUGCGAGGUACAGAGAAUGCUAGUCCCAAUCCAGCAUAGUUCUUAAGAAGAUACAGAUGGCCUCACUGGGUCAGACCAAUGGUCCAUCUGGCCCAAUAUCCUGUCUCCUGACUGCGGCCAGUGGCAG